RNAcentral lists this long non-coding RNA (239 nucleotides) under Homo sapiens (human). RNAcentral describes it as "HSALNT0155424". The record is from RNAcentral. Lineage: Eukaryota; Metazoa; Chordata; Mammalia; Primates; Hominidae.
CUGGGGCUGCCUUACCCUAAAUUCUUUUAUUGAAGCUGAUCUUAACGUCGACCCCGUGGGGCCUGGCUGGGCGAUCCAGCUCACCACAGAUGCAGGCACUUUCAAGAUUGCAGCAAAAGGGCCUGGAGCUUGAGCUGGAACCCACGCUGCUUGUCUGGGGCUUGAGCCGCCUUCAUCACGCAUGCCAGCUCACCCCUGAGUCACACCUGCUCCCUGAGCCUCUGGCUCGGGGCCUCCCA